GGAAGCCGGGAGUGCCUGAAGUGCGUGACCGCAAGGAGCGCCCUAAGGUAAAACUGGUGACUGGGGCUAAGUCGUAACAAGGUAGCCGUACCGGAAGGUGCGGCUGGAACACCUCCUUUCUGGAGC
RNAcentral lists this ribosomal RNA (126 nucleotides) under Barnesiella sp. WM24. Its description in RNAcentral is "partial 16S ribosomal RNA". It matches the Rfam family "Bacterial small subunit ribosomal RNA", at positions 1406 to 1533 of the family's 1533-position model. Lineage: Bacteria; Pseudomonadati; Bacteroidota; Bacteroidia; Bacteroidales; Barnesiellaceae. The record is from RNAcentral.